GCUGGAGUCAUUUUCUAAAGCAGUGCA
Molecule: non-coding RNA, 27 nt
Filed under: Mus musculus (house mouse)
Lineage: Eukaryota; Metazoa; Chordata; Mammalia; Rodentia; Muridae
Source: RNAcentral